Molecule: ribosomal RNA, 440 nt
Filed under: uncultured bacterium
Lineage: Bacteria
Description: partial 16S ribosomal RNA
Rfam family: Bacterial small subunit ribosomal RNA
Source: RNAcentral
CCUACGGGGUGCAGCAGUGGGGAAUAUUGUACAAUGGGGGAAACCCUGAUGCAGCGACGCCGCGUGAGUGAAGAAGUAAUUCGUUAUGUAAAGCUCUAUCAGCAGGGAAGAAAAUGACGGUACCUGAGUAAGAAGCCCCGGCUAACUACGUGCCAGCAGCCGCGGUAAUACGUAGGGGGCAAGCGUGAUCCGGAUUUAUUGGGUGUAAAGGGCGUGUAGGCGGGAGCGCAAGUCAGAUGUGAAAACUCAGGGCUCAACCCUGAGCCUGCAUUUGAAACUGUGUUUCUUGAGUGCUGGAGAGGCAAUCGGAAGUCCGUGUGUAGCGGUGAUAUGCGUAGAUAUACGGAGGAACACCAGUGGCGAAGGCGGAUUGCUGGACAGUAACUGACGCUGAGGCGCGAAAGCGUGGGGAGCAAACAGGAUUAGAUACCAUAGUAGUC